GCCGAAGGCAGGGCUGAUGACUGGGGUGAAGUCGUAACAAGGUAGCCGUACCGGAAGGUGUGGCUGGAUCACCUCCUUUUCAGGGAGACCUACUGACUUAGAGAGACAGGAGAGACGAGAGCGUCCAGAGGAGUUUGAAGAAACUCUUGCUCGAGACUCGAGUCACUCAAACCAAAUGGAUACAUCUCCUAAGUUGGUCAUCCCAAGGUCGUUCGGGGAAUAAGUGUUAGGCUUUCAAACUAGAUUGGUUCGGUUCGUGGGCU
Molecule: unclassified non-coding RNA, 263 nt
Filed under: uncultured cyanobacterium
Lineage: Bacteria; Bacillati; Cyanobacteriota
Description: partial contains 16S ribosomal RNA and 16S-23S ribosomal RNA intergenic spacer
Rfam family: Bacterial small subunit ribosomal RNA (bases 1-79)
Source: RNAcentral